AGGGAAUAGAUACCCCGGUAGUCCACGCCGUAAACGAUGGGCACUAGGUGCUGGGGGGAGCGACCCCUUCAGUGCCGCAGCUAAACGCGAUAAGUGCCCCGCCUGGGGAGUACGGCCGCAAGGCUGAAACUCAAAGGAAUUGACGGGGGCCCGCACAAGCGGUGGAGCAUGUGGUUUAAAUUCGAAGCAACGCGAAGAACCUUACCUAGGUUUGACAUGUAGCUGAAAGCCUCUGGAAACAGGGGCCCUUCUUCGGAACAGCUACACAGGUGCUGCAUGGCUGUCGUCAGCUCGUGUCGUGAGAUGUCGGGUUAAGUCCCGCAACGAGCGCAACCCUUGCCCCGUGUUACUAACAGGUAAACGCUGAGGACUCUCGGGGGUACUGCCGGCGUCAAGCCGGAGGAAGGUGGGGACGACGUCAAGUCAUCAUGGCCCUUACGCCUAGGGCGACACACGUGCUACAAUGGCGAGGACAGAGGGCAGCGAAGCGGCAACGUGAAGCGAAUCCCAGAAACCUCGUCUAAGUUCGGAUUGUGGGCUGCAACUCGCCC
Molecule: ribosomal RNA, 551 nt
Filed under: uncultured bacterium
Lineage: Bacteria
Description: bacterial SSU rRNA
Rfam family: Bacterial small subunit ribosomal RNA
Source: RNAcentral